UACGGAGGGUGCGAGCGUUGUCCGGAAUCACUGGGCGUAAAGGGCGCGUAGGCGGCCUGAUAAGUAGGGGGUGAAAUCCUGCGGCUUAACCGCAGGGCUGCCUUCUAAACUGUCAGGCUCGAGCACAGUAGAGGCAGGUGGAAUUCCCGGUGUAGCGGUGGAAUGCGUAGAGAUCGGGAGGAACACCAGUGGCGAAGGCGGCCGGCUGGGGGUGACCUGACGCUGAGGCGCGAAAGCGUGGGGAGCGAACCGG
RNAcentral lists this ribosomal RNA (253 nucleotides) under uncultured bacterium. RNAcentral's name for it is "partial 16S ribosomal RNA". It matches the Rfam family "Bacterial small subunit ribosomal RNA", at positions 524 to 776 of the family's 1533-position model. The record is from RNAcentral.